GAUGAACGCUGGCGGCGUGCCUAAUACAUGCAAGUCGAGCGAACGGACGAGAAGCUUGCUUCUCUGAUGUUAGCGGCGGACGGGUGAGUAACACGUGGAUAACCUACCUAUAAGACUGGGAUAACUUCGGGAAACCGGAGCUAAUACCGGAUAAUAUUUUGAACCGCAUGGUUCAAAAGUGAAAGACGGUCUUGCUGUCACUUAUAGAUGGAUCCGCGCUGCAUUAGCUAGUUGGUAAGGUAACGGCUUACCAAGGCAACGAUGCAUAGCCGACCUGAGAGGGUGAUCGGCCACACUGGAACUGAGACACGGUCCAGACUCCUACGGGAGGCAGCAGUAGGGAAUCUUCCGCAAUGGGCGAAAGCCUGACGGAGCAACGCCGCGUGAGUGAUGAAGGUCUUCGGAUCGUAAAACUCUGUUAUUAGGGAAGAACAUAUGUGUAAGUAACUGUGCACAUCUUGACGGUACCUAAUCAGAAAGCCACGGCUAACUACGUGCCAGCAGCCGCGGUAAUACGUAGGUGGCAAGCGUUAUCCGGAAUUAUUGGGCGUAAAGCGCGCGUAGGCGGUUUUUUAAGUCUGAUGUGAAAGCCCACGGCUCAACCGUGGAGGGUCAUUGGAAACUGGAAAACUUGAGUGCAGAAGAGGAAAGUGGAAUUCCAUGUGUAGCGGUGAAAUGCGCAGAGAUAUGGAGGAACACCAGUGGCGAAGGCGACUUUCUGGUCUGUAACUGACGCUGAUGUGCGAAAGCGUGGGGAUCAAACAGGAUUAGAUACCCUGGUAGUCCACGCCGUAAACGAUGAGUGCUAAGUGUUAGGGGGUUUCCGCCCCUUAGUGCUGCAGCUAACGCAUUAAGCACCCCGCCUGGGGAGUACGACCGCAAGGUUGAAACUCAAAGGAAUUGACGGGGACCCGCACAAGCGGUGGAGCAUGUGGUUUAAUUCGAAGCAACGCGAAGAACCUUACCAAAUCUUGACAUCCUUUGACAACUCUAGAGAUAGAGCCUUCCCCUUCGGGGGACAAAGUGACAGGUGGUGCAUGGUUGUCGUCAGCUCGUGUCGUGAGAUGUUGGGUUAAGUCCCGCAACGAGCGCAACCCUUAAGCUUAGUUGCCAUCAUUAAGUUGGGCACUCUAAGUUGACUGCCGGUGACAAACCGGAGGAAGGUGGGAAUGACGUCAAAUCAUCAUGCCCCUUAUGAUUUGGGCUACACACGUGCUACAAUGGACAAUACAAAGGGCAGCGAAACCGCGAGGUCAAGCAAAUCCCAUAAAGUUGUUCUCAGUUCGGAUUGUAGUCUGCAACUCGACUACAUGAAGCUGGAAUCGCUAGUAAUCGUAGAUCAGCAUGCUACGGUGAAUACGUUCCCGGGUCU
RNAcentral lists this ribosomal RNA (1372 nucleotides) under uncultured bacterium. Its description in RNAcentral is "16S ribosomal RNA". It matches the Rfam family "Bacterial small subunit ribosomal RNA", at positions 28 to 1381 of the family's 1533-position model. The record is from RNAcentral.